Molecule: transfer RNA, 72 nt
Filed under: Bos taurus (domestic cattle)
Lineage: Eukaryota; Metazoa; Chordata; Mammalia; Artiodactyla; Bovidae
Also listed under: 4 other names
Rfam family: tRNA
About the family: Transfer RNA (tRNA) molecules are approximately 80 nucleotides in length. Their secondary structure includes four short double-helical elements and three loops (D, anti-codon, and T loops). Further hydrogen bonds mediate the characteristic L-shaped molecular structure. tRNAs have two regions of fundamental functional importance: the anti-codon, which is responsible for specific mRNA codon recognition, and the 3' end, to which the tRNAs corresponding amino acid is attached (by aminoacyl-tRNA synthetases). tRNAs cope with the degeneracy of the genetic code in two manners: having more than one tRNA (with a specific anti-codon) for a particular amino acid; and 'wobble' base-pairing, i.e. permitting non-standard base-pairing at the 3rd anti-codon position.
Source: Rfam by way of RNAcentral
UCCCUGGUGGCUCAGACAGUAAAGCAUCUGCCUGCAAUGCAGGAGACCCAGGUUCGAUCCCUGGGUUGGGAA